GGGUGAGUAACGCGUAUCCAACCUUCCCAUGACUCCGGUUCAGCCCGCCGAAAGGCGGAUUACUCCCGGAUGGUUUCCGAAGAGGGCCUCUGAUUUGGAAUAAAGAUUUAUCGGUCAUGGAUGGGGAUGCGUCUGAUUAGGCAGCAGGCGGGGUAACGGCCCACCUGGCCUACGAUCAGUAGGGGUUCUGAGAGGAAGGUCCCCCACACUGGAACUGAGACACGGUCCAGACUCCUACAGGAGGCAGCAGUGAGGAAUAUUGGUCAAUGGACGAGAGUCUGAACCAGCCAAGUAGCGUGCAGGAUGACGGCCCCAUGGGUUGUAAACUGCUUUUAUAUGAGGAUAAAUGACGUCACGUGUGAUGUUUUGCAGGUAUCAUAUGAAUAAGGACCGGCUAAUUCCGUGCCAGCAGCCGCGGUAAUACGGAAGGUCCGGGCGUUAUCCGGAUUUAUUGGGUUUAAAGGGAGCGCAGACGGUCAGUUAAGCGUGCAGUUAAAUGAUGUGGCUCAACCAUGUUUUGCUGCGCGAACUGGUUGACUUGAGUACACGGAACGUGGGUGGAAUUUGUGGUGUAGCGGUGAAAUGCUUAGAUAUCACGAAGAACUCCGAUUGCGAAGGCA
Molecule: ribosomal RNA, 620 nt
Filed under: uncultured bacterium
Lineage: Bacteria
Description: bacterial SSU rRNA
Rfam family: Bacterial small subunit ribosomal RNA
Source: RNAcentral